Long non-coding RNA from Mesocricetus auratus (golden hamster), 922 nucleotides. RefSeq lists it as uncharacterized. The transcript has 3 exons. NCBI's taxonomy places the organism in Eukaryota, Metazoa, Chordata, Mammalia, Rodentia, Cricetidae. The record is from RefSeq and is a predicted model, not a curated record.
AAACAAGAUAUAAGCAGGGAGAAGCAGGAAAACAUUCUCUACUCUGCUGAGACCCUUAGGAGGGACCCAACUAUGCAUCCUUGCAGACCUCACAGAACACUACAAAUCACAAGGAACCUAAAUGGACCAAGUCUAAUGAUCUAUCUACCCCUAUAUAGGAGGAGAAUGCAGUUGGAAGAAAGAUAAAUAUAAACUCUAAGAAACGCUAUACAGAGAAUGAAAGAUGGAGGAAACCCAGCCUGCAAGAAGAUCUCUUCACACCACCACUGAAUCCUUUGUAGGAUGAGACCUUGAACUUAAAUGAAAAUGAUGGAACCUAUUGAAACAAAUAAAUGUCAUGCAUAAAGAUCCCAAUAUGCUUAAAUGUAUUCUGAAUUGAAACCAGAGAUUUCCAUUUAGAAAACAUCUUCUCAGCCCAAAUUACUCUGAAGAGGUAACUCCCUUGUGAGCUCAGGGCUAUUCAUCACAUUCAUGACCUGGGGAGAUAGUAUGCAGGUUCCCAAGUUUCUGGCAGGUGGAAAUGGGGAGAUUGUCAUUUGCAGAACAUCCUGUCCCCAGUGGUGCUGAGUCACUUAAACUCCCAACAUCUGUGCAGCUUCCCCUACGGCCGCUUUCUCACAGUCAGAAUUCAAGAUGCUGUGCAGUGCUGAGACAGGUGAUAAGGAGAGCCUCCUGAGUCAGGAAACCACAAAUAAUUGCUGAAGCCUCAGGAAAUACAGUAGUUCCCAACAAAAUCUUGUCUACUUUGAGCAGAAGUGAGCCCUUCACUCAAAAUUACUUGAAGAGGGCAAGGUGUUUAUGGAAAUAUAAAGGGGUCUGGAUUUUGUCUCUCUUUUUGUCUCUUUUAUUGAAAGGGAUUUUUUUUCCUCCUGAUUGUGGUUUCACCUCCCACUACUCCUCUCCACCUCCCUUUCCAUCUGGA